RNAcentral lists this ribosomal RNA (350 nucleotides) under uncultured bacterium. Its description in RNAcentral is "bacterial SSU rRNA". It matches the Rfam family "Bacterial small subunit ribosomal RNA", at positions 8 to 350 of the family's 1533-position model. The record is from RNAcentral.
AGAGUUUGAUCCUGGCUCAGGAUGAACGCUAGCUACAGGCUUAACACAUGCAAGUCGAGGGGAAACGACAUCGAGAGCUUGCUUUUGAUGGGCGUCGACCGGCGCACGGGUGAGUAACGCGUAUCCAACCUGCCCAUCACUUGGGGAUAACCUUGCGAAAGUAAGACUAAUACCCAAUGACGUCUCUAGAAGACAUCUGAAAGAGAUUAAAGAUUUAUCGGUGAUGGAUGGGGAUGCGUCUGAUUAGCUUGUUGGCGGGGUAACGGCCCACAAGGCGACGAUCAGUAGGGGUCUGAGAGGAAGGUCCCCACAUUGGAACUGAGACACGGUCCAAACUCCUACGGGAGGCA